AUAUUGGACAAUGGGCGCAAGCCUGAUCCAGCCAUGCCGCGUGAGUGAAGAAGGCCCUCGGGUUGUAAAGCUCUUUUGUCCGGAAAGAAAAGCUUUCGGUUAAUACCCGGAAGUCAUGACGGUACCAUAUGAAUAAGGACCGGCUAACUACGUUCCAGCAGCCGCGGUAAUACGUAGGGUCCAAGCGUUAUCCGGAAUCACUGGGCGUAAAGCGUGUGUAGGCGGCGUGUUAAGUGCAAUGCGAAAUCUUGUGGCUCAACCUGGGAAUGGCAUUGGAAACUGGCUGACUGGAGUGCGGUAGAGGGUAGUGGAAUUCCCGGUGUAGCAGUGAAAUGCGUAGAUAUCGGGAGGAACAUCCGUGGCGAAGGCGACUACCUGGACCAGCACUGACACUGAGGCACGAAAGCGUGGGGAGCAAACAGG
RNAcentral lists this ribosomal RNA (423 nucleotides) under uncultured bacterium. RNAcentral's name for it is "bacterial SSU rRNA". It matches the Rfam family "Bacterial small subunit ribosomal RNA", at positions 361 to 776 of the family's 1533-position model. The record is from RNAcentral.